GAUGAACGCUGGCGGCGUGCCUAAUACAUGCAAGUCGAGCGAACAGACGAGGAGCUUGCUCCUCUGACUUUAGCGGCGGACGGGUGAGAAACACGUGGAUAACCUACCUAUAAGACUGGGAUAACUUCGGGAAACCGGAGCUAAUACCGGAUAAUAUAUUGAACCGCAUGGUUCAAUAGUGAAAGACGGUUUUGCUGUCACUUAUAGAUGGAUCCGCGCCGCAUUAGCUAGUUGGUAAGGUAACGGCUUACUAAGGCAACGAUGCGUAGCCGACCUGAGAGAGUGAUAGCCGACAUUGGAACUGAGCCGCGGUCAAGACGACUGCGAGAGGCCGCAGUAGCGUAUGGUCGGCAAUGGGGGGAAGCCUGACAGAGUGACGCCGAGUGAGUUGUGACGGCGUCGCGAGCGUAAAACUCGGUUAUUAGUUGAGAACAAAUGUGUGAGGAACUAUAGAGAUCGUGACGGUACCUAAACAGAAAGCGACGGCUAACUACGUG
RNAcentral lists this ribosomal RNA (497 nucleotides) under uncultured bacterium. Its description in RNAcentral is "partial 16S ribosomal RNA". It matches the Rfam family "Bacterial small subunit ribosomal RNA", at positions 28 to 507 of the family's 1533-position model. The record is from RNAcentral.